GGCCGAGUGUGGGUGAAUAAAAUACCUUCGGGGAAUAAGCCCGCUUGCCUUCGUACAAGUUUUGAGCACUUGGCCGCCUGAGC
RNAcentral lists this non-coding RNA (83 nucleotides) under Rhodnius prolixus. RNAcentral's name for it is "sRNA-Xcc1". It matches the Rfam family "sRNA-Xcc1". The record is from Rfam by way of RNAcentral. Lineage: Eukaryota; Metazoa; Arthropoda; Insecta; Hemiptera; Reduviidae.